UUCUUUUUUGGGAUUCAAGUCAGUUCGUGUUAUUAUUUCUUUCUCGGGAUUCAAGUCAGUUCGUGUUAUUAUUUCUCAUUAUUGAGUUGGUGUGGCUCAUUAUUGAGGUUCGAUUCAAGGUUCUUCGGUGCGCGGAUUCCGUCUUUUGAUUGACUGAUAUUUGGAAUAAAGUCGUCAUCGAGGUCUAAUUCUACUCUUUACCUCUUUUGUUUUAUUGUUGAUGGUAUCCGAUGCAUUGAUUCUAAUAUUGUGUGUUGGUUUAUUCGUGAUGAUGUGAAUUGUUGUUGUUCUGGUUUGGUAUUUUAAUUCCCUUGAUUGUGGAUUGAUUAUGGAUUAUGUGAUGAGAUGAUAUCUUGUUUGGAGAAUUAAGAUUGAUUGUUUGGGGCAGAAUUAAAAUUGACAAAAGUGAACAUUAGUUUAUGUUGAUUCAUUGAUAGUCGCUUAAUUCAAGAUAAGCAUCGACUUGAUUAAAUUGAUAGUGUCACGAUUUUAGGUCGCUAAUUGAACAUGCACAUGGUAGGUUCGGGUAGGAAAAUUUAGGCAUGGUGGAUUGAAGACAUGUUUGAAAUAUGUGUUGGAAUGGUUUUGUUUUUUUUGUCGCAUUUAAUUCAAUUGUAUAAUUUGGCCGGGGAAUGCCCCGAAGUAUCUGUAUAUAUUUAUUCACCGGGGAAUGCCCCGAAUU
Molecule: long non-coding RNA, 682 nt
Filed under: Capsicum annuum
Lineage: Eukaryota; Viridiplantae; Streptophyta; Magnoliopsida; Solanales; Solanaceae
Description: long non-coding RNA (CANN_LNC008654)
Source: RNAcentral